RNAcentral lists this transfer RNA (74 nucleotides) under Methanogenium sp. RNAcentral's name for it is "tRNA-Val". It matches the Rfam family "tRNA". Rfam says of the family: Transfer RNA (tRNA) molecules are approximately 80 nucleotides in length. Their secondary structure includes four short double-helical elements and three loops (D, anti-codon, and T loops). Further hydrogen bonds mediate the characteristic L-shaped molecular structure. tRNAs have two regions of fundamental functional importance: the anti-codon, which is responsible for specific mRNA codon recognition, and the 3' end, to which the tRNAs corresponding amino acid is attached (by aminoacyl-tRNA synthetases). tRNAs cope with the degeneracy of the genetic code in two manners: having more than one tRNA (with a specific anti-codon) for a particular amino acid; and 'wobble' base-pairing, i.e. permitting non-standard base-pairing at the 3rd anti-codon position. The record is from RNAcentral. RNAcentral also lists the same sequence under 2 other names. Lineage: Archaea; Methanobacteriati; Methanobacteriota; Methanomicrobia; Methanomicrobiales; Methanomicrobiaceae.
GGGCUCGUGGUCUAGUUGGUUAUGACGUCGCCUUCACACGGCGGAGGUCCUGAGUUCGAAUCUCAGCGGGCCCA